Molecule: ribosomal RNA, 300 nt
Filed under: uncultured Enterococcus sp.
Lineage: Bacteria; Bacillati; Bacillota; Bacilli; Lactobacillales; Enterococcaceae
Description: bacterial SSU rRNA
Rfam family: Bacterial small subunit ribosomal RNA
Source: RNAcentral
GGAAACACCCGGCCAACAGACUGGGUAAUACGGGGGAUCCCAGCGUGAUGUGGAAUCCAUGGUAUUGAAGGGGCCGUAGGCGGCCUUAUAAGUCAGUGGAGAAAUCUGCUAGCUCAAGGAGGAAACUGCCAUAUAUACUGUAGGGCUUUAAUUUUUGUGAAGUAACUAGAAUAUGCAGUGUAGCGGUGAAAUGCUUAGAUAUUACAUGGAAUACCAAUUGCGAGGGCAGGUUACUAACAAACGAGUGACGCUGAUGGACGAAGGCGUGGGGAGCGAACAGGAUUAGAUACCCCAGUAGUC